Molecule: long non-coding RNA, 6786 nt
Filed under: Vitis vinifera (wine grape)
Lineage: Eukaryota; Viridiplantae; Streptophyta; Magnoliopsida; Vitales; Vitaceae
Description: long non-coding RNA (VVIN_LNC006263)
Source: RNAcentral
UAUCGACCCACAUAAGAAUCUGCAGCAAACGCCCCCAGCAAAGGCAGCAUAUUCGCAGUCCCGAACCACGUAUUCACAUUCUGGGCAGCUGUGGCCAUGGACUGACCCAGCCGACCCGUGAGGUAGUUUAUAAGAUUCGACUCUAUGCCAUAAAAUGCAAAUCUCUCAGCAACUUCAACACCUGUAGACAUGAACAUAAGCAAAUAAUUUCUCUGUGAUUACUGCUUUUGAGUUAGCAGUGGUUACCUAUGAUGAAGCAUGCGGAUCUCCAACGGCCAGAGCUGCAUCUCCUGGCCGGACGGCCCUUGUAGUCGACGGCGCUGUUGAGGGUGUCGUCCAGAAGUGGAGUAUGGGCGUGGGGGAGGAUGCCAGAAUGAGGCAUGGCUGAACCAGUACCGCAGAAUGGGGGGCUUGAGCUGGAGAUAUGUGAUGUUGUGUUGACCUUUUGUCAAUAAAUGCUAUUGGUUUAUUGUACGUGGAAAUUGGAUUGGACGUUUUGCCCCACUCCCAAGCCUACAAGGUAGUUGAAAACUUGAAAUUGGGUUGAAACUUGGAACCCAAAAAAGGAAUGAAUGGGUCCUGGACUGCGACUUCUGUCACAGUAUUUGAUUUAUUACCUCAGAGAAUAUUAGGUCUAUUGGGUAGAGUUUUCACAAAAAUAAAAUAAAAUAAAAAUAAAAAUAAAAAUAAAAAAUAGAACUAAAAGAUAGCUUUUAAAAAUAAAUUUCAAAAAUAAUUUUAUGAUAUUUUUUAUAAUAAAAUUUUAUUAGGAUAUUUGAAGUCUUCUCCAUUGAUAGUGUGUUUUCCAAUAUUUCUUAAAAAUAAAUCUUUUUUAUUUUAUCUUUAUUCACUCUCAAUAUUUAUAUAAUUAUUUUUUUAAAUGAUUCUAUAAAAUGAAGUGAAAACAACUAGAAAUAAUUAAAAUACGUUCUCAUAGAAAAACUUAUUUUUAUAAUAAUUCUCAUAAACCUAUUGUAGAAAUAAUUCUAAUGAAACAUGUUUUUAUGUUUUUUUUCUUUUGUAUUUAAAAAAAUUAUUUUUGACUAUAAUUUUUUGACAUAAAAUAAGGUCUAAAAAGGAAUAUUUUAAAAUAUUUUUUAAAAAUAGUUUUGCUAUUUUUUAUAAAAUAAAAAUCUAUUUAAAACCUCGAAAUGUUCUCAAUUUAUUUUAUGUAUCUUUAAAUAUUUUUUUUAAAUAACUUUUUAUCUAGAGCUUUAUUUUUAUUCUUUUUUUAUUUAUAUGGUUAUUUUUUAUAACAAACUCUAGAAAAUAAGUAAAAGCAACAAAAAAAUUUAAAUAAAAUUUAAAUCUCAAAAUGCAGUAUGUUUUUUGAAUAAGUACUUAAAAAACUAUUUUUUGCCAAAAAAAAUAUCACACAUAUUUUUAAGUGUGGAAAAUAGUUUUCUAUUUUUAAAAACAAAAAAUAAUUUUAGCAAUAGUUCCCAAAUCGGUUCUUAGGAUAGAUUUGCAACAUUUUCAAAAAUAAUUUUUAAAAAAUAAUUUUUAAAUUUUUAAAAAAUAAUUUUUAAAUUUUUAAAAAAUAAUUUUUAAAUUUUUAAAAAUAGUUUUCUAUUGUUUUUAAGAACAAAAUUUAAUUUGAGAACUCAAAUAUUAAAAAAAAAAUAGAUUUUUAACUUAUUCUUUAUAAAUAUUCUCUACACAUGUAUAGAGUUCAAAAGUUCUGUUGCUCAAAACAUUCUACAAAAAACACUUCAAAUUUGUUUUUAAAAAAUUAACAUAUUUUUAAAUCAAAUUUUCAAAAAAAAAAAUUGGAAUAAUUAUGUUUUGGACCUAAUUUGGCCCAAAAAUUAAGUUUUGGUCCAUAUAAGUUUAAUAUUUAAACUCAGUAAUCAAAAUGUGGAAAUUGAGAAAAAGGAUAUGGAUUUUUUAUUUUUUCAAAAAUAACCUUUAUUAUCUAUAAAAAAAGAGUAGAAAAACAUUAAUUUAAAUUUUAUUCAUUUUGUAAACCUUCAUAAAUUUUAAUUUAAUUUAGUGAUUUGGAAAAAAAAAUACAUCAUUUUCCAAAAAAAUAAAAAUAAAUUAUUAUUAUUAUUAUUUAAAAAUGAAACAUCUUGAAAAAUAUAUUUUUUUUAAAUUAUGUAUGUAAAAAAUAACUAAAAAUAUGUCAAAAUUAUUUUUUUUAAAUGAUAUAUUUUUAGAAUAUAUUUAAAAAAAAAUUAGUUUUCAAAAAAUAAUAAAAUUUCAUAAUAAUUAUUAAAAAAAUUAAAAUCAAAAAGUUUGUUAAACAUUGUGAUAGAAAAUACUCAAAAUAGUUUUAAAGUUUCUUCACAUUUUAUAUCAUUCCCAUUAAUUAUAUAACUUUCAUGUGCCAAAGCUUAAUUUUUGAACCCAACUGGGUCCAAAACACAAUUGUCCCAUAAAUAAAUAACGAGUAUGGUGCACCAUAAAUGAUAUAACACUGAUACACAAUAAAAAUUCUUCUUAUACAAUUUGAAUAUUAUUUUUCAAUUCAACUUGGUAUUUUAAAAAAUUCAGAUCAUUUCACGGAAUUAUAAAUGUUUACCAUUCUUUGAGUGGAAUUUUGCAUCUUUUUUGAACCUUAAGUUCAUUAUCAACUUUAUUCAUCCCUAAAACAUAAUUGUUCAUAUUUAUAAUACACUACUUUUAAGAUCAUAAAAUGGCUAUAACUUUUAUAUAACAAACACGACCUCUUCCAACUUUACAUUAUGAAAGUAAUUAUUUUAAAAAAUCAAAGUAUUAAAAAUAUUUUACCAUCUCAAAUUUUAAAAUCUUUAAAAAUGAUUUUUUAAAGACAUAAAGUAAAUUUACUUUCUUUUUUUUUUUUAAAAAUGCAUUACUUUUGUAUAAAAGUUUUUUUUAUUUAAAAAAAAAAGAGAAGAAACAUAAAGAUAAAUUAAUAAAAAUAUAAUGAUUGUCUUCAUUGUUUCCUUACAAGAAAUUGGAAAUUGAUUUUGGAUGUAUUUGAUUUAGUUUUGAUGUGAAAUUAUUUAAAAUGGAUAUAAGAAAGUUUUGUUGAAAAGUUUUGAAUAUAUUAACAUGUUUAAUUCAAAAGUUUUUAUGAAAAUGAAUAUAUAUUGUAUCUCCUAUUUAUAAGCAUAAUUGAAACUAUUUGGUCCAUGAAACUAUAUUAAUGUUCUUUAUUGGGUUUUGAACUCAUUUCCUUUGUUGUUAAAUUUUAGGCACCCUUCCUUUGGGCGAGAAGUGAUGAUUAUGAUAAUAAAUUUGACUUAUUAAUACAUUUGUUAAAACUUUCCUUUUGGAAUUUGUUAAAUAUUAGAAUUUAAUUAUUGUCGGUUAUUGAUUAAGUUUUGAAAUUGCUUGUACAAAAAUACUAUGGUUGAUAUGUUGGUUUAAAAGUUAAAUUUGAAGAUUUUAGAAUUUUUGUUCUAUUACUCCGAACAUCAAUUUAGUAAUUGGUAAAUUUCAAUUACAAGAUGAAUGUUUGUAUCAUUUCCGCUUUGAGCCUUUGUGAAAUGACCGUCACGCCCUUGGAACGGGAUUUGGGGCAUGACAAUUGAGGAUAAAAAUACUACUGAUGAGUGGUUAAGUCAACAGCAUGUACUUUGAGAUAUAAAAUACAUUCACAAGAAUUGAAACAAACACAAUAUAAAGGUGAAGGGCAUUCAUGUUGUACUAGUACUAUUAUAAAUGUAAGAUCUUGCAGAAUACAAGUAGGUGGACAAUCCUACUGUACUCAGCCCAGCAAGUAGCCAAUAGAAGUAAUCAAGAUGAGCCUGGUUAAGAUUAUCAUUGAACCAGCUAGUUUGGCCAUCCCCACCAGUAGUUUUGUUGAUAACAGAGAUGAGAAAGCUGCUCAGAAAGCUCCCUACACCAAAGAUACUGAGGUAGAGGGAGAGACCAACACUCCUUAGUUCAUUUGGGACCUCAUCAUAGAAGAACUCUUGCAGACCAACCAUGGUGAAUACUUGAGCAACUCCAAAUAUCACAUAUUGGGGAAUCAACCACCACACCGCCAUUGGAACGGUUGCAUAUGGUAUAUCGACCAGCCCAUAUUGUUCGGCGGUUUUGAGCCGUUGGACCUCAACUAGUGCUGCAAAUACCAUGGCAAUGACAGACAGAAGCAUCCCAGUUCCGAUCCUCUGAAGCAUUGUUAUGCCUGAGGGUUUCCUGGUUAGAACUCUUGCGGUAGGAACCAAAAUGCGGUCAUAUAUGGGGACGAAGAGAAGGAUGGAGAGGCUGAUGAAGCAUUGAAGUGAGGCAGCCGGUACCUUAAAGCCCGAACCAAUUGAUCUAUCCAUGGUAACUCCUUGCUUGGUAAAGAAAGUUGGUGGCUGAGCAAACACAAUAGCAAAUGCUAAGCAGGAAGCCCAGAUGGGAAACAGCCUCAGAACUGAUUUUGCUUCUUCAACAUCACUCACACUACACACUUUUCCAUCUUCCUUUGAACCAUCUGGUGCAAGCAAGGCCUUGUUGAGAAACCUGUCACAAUAGAGAGGUUUCUGCAAGUAAAAUUUCAAUGGAAGUGUACGCAUUAAAAGGAAAAAGGUUACUUUAUAAUAAUUGCAUGUCAUUUUCAAAAUAGGGUCUAUAGGAUGUUCAAAGGUUUGAAAUGCCUAGGUAAGAUCUUGAAACUCACAAACUUUUAGCUGAGAAGUAUGCAUUUUCUUUUAUCCUUUUCAAUACCAUUGCAGAAACUGAACCUUUCUUACUUGAACUUGUGAGAACAUUGAUGAGGCCAGGUUCCAUGAGCUACCUCUUCAUCAGUUAAAGAAGAAUCUGUUGUAUGCCAAUUCUUGAUUGCUGCAACAAAGACCCAACCGAUUUUCAGAAAUGGGUUCUUCUCAUCCCCUUUAACACUAUAACGAUAAGUCUUGGUACCGAGCAAGAAAACAAACAGUGCAGCCACCAUUGUAGUGCAGGGGAUUCCGAAUCCAAGACCCCAAUUGAGAUUGUCUUGGAUGUAGUUCAAGAUGGAGGAGUUUAUUAAAAUACCACCGCUCAUACAAAAGUACCACCAGUUGAAGAAUGAGCUUUUGGCUUUGCUCUCCUCUGGAUUUUUUCCAUCAAAUUGAUCAGCUCCAAAAGCUUGGACACAGGGCUUGUGCCCACCUUGCCCAACAGCUACCAGAUACAGAGCAAAAAAGAAGAGGAUUACUUGUAACAUCGGAGGGGAACAGGAUGAUAUUUCUUUGUCAGUUUGGCAGUGAGAAGGAUUGAAAGAAGGAAGCACAGCAGAUACCGUUAACAAGCCUAGUCCCUGUGAUUCAUAAAAUCAAAAGUGAAAUCCACUUAUCAUUUCAACAAUGCAGAAGCUUAAAAUACUAUGCUAGAAAGCCCAUAUAAAUCAUUUCCAAACAUCAAAACUAACAUUUUUCAGGGCAUCCUUUCUAAGGAAAAGUUCUCUCUAGCAUGUUUAAGCAUGCUACCAUUAAUGUCAGUCCUUGAAAAACCAGCGCAGACUAGCCAGUUGAGUGAGGCCGAACAACUUGUUAAGUAAUGAAGCAACAAUCUAUAUCAACCUAUAGAAAAAACUACUGUUGAAUAGGGUUGAACAAUUUCAAGUGGUUUUCUACUUAAACAUGCAUCACCCAAGUGAAUUCAUGGCUGGACUGGUUUGAACUGACAGUUCUCCUUGCUAUAAGUCCAGCUUUUCAAUAACUCUAGUAAGCUCUAUGAUAGAACUGAAACUCAAAAACAAAUGAUUAAGACAAGUUCUCUACCAAUCCAUUUUAUCCAUUCCAAUGGUAGAAACAUCUCAACAAAGAGAAGGCCAAUAAACUCAUAAUACAGGUGAUGUUUCCAUGAAAAGGUUGCAAAGAAUUCUCAAACUAGUGUUUGGAGCACUAGAAAAUUUGAAACUCAAUAGAACCCAGCAUACCUACUUCAUUCAUUCAACCAAAACUAGCUCUAGUCCAUAUAUAUCAUCUUAAGAAAAAAGAAGACACAUUUGAUUCAAGGGGAAAAGAAGUGUGAAUUCUAGCUUUUACAAGUUUGAAUCAACUGGGACUGAUUGCUUAACGGCAUUGAAAACUUGUUUCAUAACAAGCCAAGACGAGAAAAAUCUUGAAAAUGAGGAGGUUCUUCUACAUGGAAGGUGCCAGCAUCGAUCCUACUUGAAAAUGAGAAGAUUGAAUCUUUCCUCACAGAAAUCACAAUGAUGAUAGAAGAAUUGAGAAUCAAAUAUCACAAACUUCUCUACUGCCAAAUAAGUUGAUGCCAAAUUGCACUUUUAUUGAAAGCCAUUUGUAAAUUGUUCCAACAAGUACCGAAUGCUCCAUCUCCAUCAAGAAUCAGAUACCCAAUUUAUUAAUAUACACAAAAAUCCGUGUUCUUUUGCAAGGAAAAACCAAAAAAAAUAUAUUGGUAAAGAAAAUGGGGAAAAAUUAGAAAUGCAAUUUAAACAAACAAAGGAAUAAAAGUAGCUUUUAUUGGGUCAUCUUUUGGCACAAUAGAGUCCGUGUACCUUCAUUUUCUAGACCAUAGGACAUUUGAAUCGAUCAUUACAGUGGUAAAAGGAAAUGGGACCUGGGUUAGGUAUGAUCACUGCAACAAAAAGACACAGCAAAACAGAUGCGAUCAUGGAAGAAAGAAGGAGAUGACAAACCAGGAUGUAGAGAAGGGAAGCGAUGACAAUGGUGGGAUAUCGACCCACAUAAGAAUCUGCAACAAACGCCCCCAGCAAAGGCAGCAUACUCGCAGUCCCGGACCACGUAUUCACAUUCUGAGCUGCUGUGGCCAUGGACUGACCCAGCCGACCCGUGAGGUAGUUUAUAAGAUUCGACUCGAUGCCAUAGUAUGCAAAUCUCUCAGCGACUUCAACACCUGUAGACAAACACACAAGCA